Molecule: ribosomal RNA, 433 nt
Filed under: uncultured bacterium
Lineage: Bacteria
Description: partial 16S ribosomal RNA
Rfam family: Bacterial small subunit ribosomal RNA
Source: RNAcentral
AACGAACGCUGGCGGCAUGCCUAACACAUGCAAGUCGAACGAGACCUUCGGGUCUAGUGGCGCACGGGUUCGUAACGCGUGGGAACCUGCCCUUAGGUUCGGAAUAACUCCCCGAAAGGGGUGCUAAUACCGGAUAAUGUCUUCGGACCAAAGAUUUAUCGCCUUUGGAUGGGCCCGCGUUGGAUUAGCUAGUUGGUAGGGUAAAAGCCUACCAAGGCGACGAUCCAUAGCUGGUCUGAGAGGAUGAUCAGCCACACUGGGACUGAGACACGGCCCAGACUCCUACGGGAGGGAGCAGUGGGGAAUAUUGGACAAUGGGCGAAAGCCUGAUCCAGCAAUGCCGCGUGAGUGAUGAAGGCCUUAGGGUUGUAAAGCUCUUUUACCCGGGAUGAUAAUGACAGUACCGGGAGAAUAAGCUCCGGCUAACUCCGUG